RNAcentral lists this ribosomal RNA (399 nucleotides) under uncultured bacterium. Its description in RNAcentral is "bacterial SSU rRNA". It matches the Rfam family "Bacterial small subunit ribosomal RNA", at positions 975 to 1374 of the family's 1533-position model. The record is from RNAcentral.
CUGGGCUUAAAUGUAGAGUGCAUGACUUGGAAACAGGUCUUUCCUUCGGGACUCUUUACAAGGUGCUGCAUGGUUGUCGUCAGCUCGUGCCGUGAGGUGUCGGGUUAAGUCCCAUAACGAGCGCAACCCCUAUCGUUAGUUGCCAGCGGAUCAUGCCGGGGACUCUAACGAAACUGCCGGUGUAAACCGAGAGGAAGGUGGGGAUGACGUCAAAUCAGCACGGCCCUUAUGUCCAGGGCUACACACGUGUUACAAUGGCCAGUACAAUGGGCAGCUACCAGGUGACUGGAUGCUAAUCUCCAAAGCUGGUCUCAGUUCGGAUCGGAGUCUGCAACUCGACUCCGUGAAGUUGGAUUCGCUAGUAAUCGUAUAUCAGCAAUGAUACGGUGAAUACGUUCC